Polistes canadensis is the source of this 1106-nucleotide long non-coding RNA. RefSeq lists it as uncharacterized. The record is from RefSeq and is a predicted model, not a curated record. The transcript is spliced from 2 exons. NCBI's taxonomy places the organism in Eukaryota, Metazoa, Arthropoda, Insecta, Hymenoptera, Vespidae.
GCUAGAGUGCACGUCAAUCGCGUUCAUAAAUACAAAUUGUGUAAAAUAAAUACAAUUACCAUUAGUCAUGUAAAUUCGUCCACCAUUUUUCUACUGUACGUACACGUAUUACACGUUGCAUUCUAUAAUAUAUACCAUGUAUAUAAAAUAUUAAAUAUGAAAUAAUGAAAAUCUAAUGUGUGUGUAUAAAUAGCUAUGGUUUUAAACUCUUAGGGUAAAUCUCCUUUUGCGGGAGGAGACCCCCGAGCAAUCGAUAUUACUUCGUUGAAUUUAUUCUGCAAUCAUUAUAUAUCAUAUACGCGUAUUCGUAAGAAAUAUUAAAUAUUUAGAUUUCUACAAAUACUGAUCACGAUAAAUAUUCUAUCGAAAUUAGCAUCAAAUUAAUGGCUGCUAAAAAUAAAUCAUAAUACAAAAUGAAAUAUUUAUCUGAACUGUUGAAUAAUCGACAUUAAAAAGAAAGAAGAUGGCUAAUAGUAAUGAUCAAAUACAUGAUCUUGAUUUGAUCGAAUAUUGAUCUUCUAUUAUUCUUACUUUAAUGUGUAUUAAAUUGAUUUUGAUACUAAAAAAAUAUAUAAAUAAUAGUGAAAAUAAAGGAUGACCAACUGUUAAACACGAAAAAACAGGUAUUCCCCGUUUUUACAGUUGUAUCAAGACGAUAUUUAGUGACGGGCAUUUUCUAUAUACUAUUUUCAUAUUUGCUUAAUUAAUGUGUUAUAAAUAAUCCUUUCAAGUAAAACUCGUUAAAUAUGUAAUAAAACUAUAUUAACGUGUUUAUUUCUAAAUUGUCUUCAUUCUAAAUACCCUAUACCAAUAAUUUUCAAGCAAAAAUCUAGUACGGUUGUACGAUUGUAGUACGAUUUUAAGUGACACUCACUGUAUAUUUAUUUAUAGUGCAUUUAUUGGUACAGUUCGAAAAAUGAACAGAGUUUUAAGUUGUUUAAGUUGCACUAUCGCGCUAUUCGUUUACUGUAACAUUAAUAAAACUUUACGUUAUUACUGAGAACAUUUACUUAUACAGAGCUAAAAAUACAUAGCAUUGAAGGACAUUUUAUCGAUAGCUAAAGUGGAUAAUAGAAUAUGCCAGCGCUUUUACAGCGUCUUAAGAA